Molecule: ribosomal RNA, 460 nt
Filed under: uncultured bacterium
Lineage: Bacteria
Description: bacterial SSU rRNA
Rfam family: Bacterial small subunit ribosomal RNA
Source: RNAcentral
UUGAACGCUGGCGGCAUGCUUUACACAUGCAAGUCGAACGGCAGCGGGGGCUUCGGCCUGCCGGCGAGUGGCGAACGGGUGAGUAAUGCAUCGGAACGUACCCAGUCGUGGGGGAUAACUACGCGAAAGCGUAGCUAAUACCGCAUACGCCCUGAGGGGGAAAGCGGGGGACCUUCGGGCCUCGCGCGAUUGGAGCGGCUGAUGUCGGAUUAGCUAGUUGGUGGGGUAAAGGCCUACCAAGGCGACGAUCCGUAGCUGGUCUGAGAGGAUGAUCAGCCACACUGGGACUGAGACACGGCCCAGACUCCUACGGGAGGCAGCAGUGGGGAAUUUUGGACAAUGGGCGCAAGCCUGAUCCAGCCAUGCCGCGUGAGUGAAGAAGGCCUUCGGGUUGUAAAAUUCUGUCUUGAGGGACGAAAAAAAUGACGGUACCUCAGGAGGAAGCCCCGGCUAACUACGU